ACACCGGCGGCUCGAGUGGUAACCGUUAUUAUUGGGUCUAAAGGGUCUGUAGCCGGCCGGAUAAGUCUCUUGAGAAAUCUGGCAGCUUAACUGUCAGGCUUUCAGGAGAUACUGUCUGGCUCGAGGCCGGGAGAGGUGAGAGGUACUUCAGGGGUAGGGGUGAAAUCUUGUAAUCCUUGAAGGACCACCAGUGGCGAAGGCGUCUCACCAGAACGGACCUGACGGCAAGGGACGAAAGCUAGGGGCACGAACCGGAUUAGAUACCCAGGUAGUCCCAGCCGUAAACGAUGCUCGCUAGGUGUCAGGCAUGGCGCGACCGUGUCUGGUGCCGCAGGGAAGCCGUGAAGCGAGCCACCUGGGAAGUACGGCCGCAAGGCUGAA
RNAcentral lists this ribosomal RNA (381 nucleotides) under uncultured archaeon. RNAcentral's name for it is "bacterial SSU rRNA". It matches the Rfam family "Archaeal small subunit ribosomal RNA", at positions 473 to 853 of the family's 1478-position model. The record is from RNAcentral.